This 715-nucleotide ribosomal RNA is filed under the name Prototheca wickerhamii. RNAcentral describes it as "eukaryotic LSU rRNA". It matches the Rfam family "Eukaryotic large subunit ribosomal RNA", at positions 36 to 667 of the family's 3401-position model. Lineage: Eukaryota; Viridiplantae; Chlorophyta; Trebouxiophyceae; Chlorellales; Chlorellaceae. The record is from RNAcentral.
AAGCAUAUCAAUAAGCGGAGGAAGAGAAACUAACCAGGAUUCCCCUAGUAACGGCGAGCGAACCGGGAGGAUAGAUUGAGCCCACUUUGUAAAUCUGAAAGAAUUGUAUUUUUUCCGAAUUGUAGUCUACACAGGUUGGUCUUUUUGGCAGAAGGAAUGUUGUCCAAGUGCCUUGGAAGAGGCCGCGCGACAGGGUGAGAGCCCCGUUGGACGAGAUCUUCAGUCAGAUGCACAGACCACUCUCCUGUUCGAGUCGGGUUGUUUGGGAAUGCAGCCCUAAUGUGUCGGUGGUAAAUCCCAUCGAAGGCUAAAUACUGGCGGGAGACCGAUAGCGAACAAGUACCGUGAGGGAAAGAUGAAAAGAACUUUGAAAAGAGAGUCAAAAGUGCUUGAAAUUGUUGAGAGGGAAGCGAUUGUGUAGAGGUGAGUUUUGAGUGGUGCAGAGAUUUGGGGUUGGUUGCAGGAUUCAUUUCUGUGCCUCCCCAACCCUGCUGCACCCCCGGUCAGCAUCGGUUUCUGGAGGGGUAGAAACGCCAGGAUUACCUGGUUUGGAUUGAAUUUGAUUUUUCAGCUUCAGUCCAACGCCUGGCUCAUGCCUCUCUGUUCUUGAGACCGAGGAACUUUCAGUACGGUGCCCCAGAAGAAUUCAUUCUUCCGCACCGGUUGAUGGAUGCUGGCUGACGCCGCUCAAUCGGCCCGUCUUGAAACACGGACC